GAUGAACGCUGGCGGCGUGCCUAAUACAUGCAAGUCGAGCGAACAGAUAAGGAGCUUGCUCCUUUGACGUUAGCGGCGGACGGGUGAGUAACACGUGGGUAACCUACCUAUAAGACUGGAAUAACUCCGGAAAACCGGGGCUAAUGCCGGAUAACAUUUAGAACCGCAUGGUUCUAAAGUGAAAGAUGGUUUUGCUAUCACUUAUAGAUGGACCCGCGCCGUAUUAGCUAGUUGGUAAGGUAACGGCUUACCAAGGCAACGAUACGUAGCCGACCUGAGAGGGUGAUCGGCCACACUGGAACUGAGACACGGUCCAGACUCCUACGGGAGGCAGCAGUAGGGAAUCUUCCGCAAUGGGCGAAAGCCUGACGGAGCAACGCCGCGUGAGUGAUGAAGGUCUUCGGAUCGUAAAACUCUGUUAUUAGGGAAGAACAAAUGUGUAAGUAACUGUGCACGUCUUGACGGUACCUAAUCAGAAAGCCACGGCUAACUACGUG
This 497-nucleotide ribosomal RNA is filed under the name uncultured bacterium. Its description in RNAcentral is "partial 16S ribosomal RNA". It matches the Rfam family "Bacterial small subunit ribosomal RNA", at positions 28 to 507 of the family's 1533-position model. The record is from RNAcentral.